AUGUUUGAGAUAUAUAAACUGAAUUGAGAGCAUGUUAUUAGUUGUUAUUAAUCAUACAUGUGGGACUUCGAUAAAACAUAAGAGAAAACCAGCGUUCGGGAUCUGGCAUAUGUUGAACUACCUGAUUUAGCCCUAGGGGCCGUUGUAUUUUUAUACUGUUGCAGUAUCCUCAUAGUGAGUAUCCCAGAUAGUUCAGAUUUCAGUUACGCUCGUGUUGGGAUGCCGAGCCGAUUUUUACAGUAGUGUUUACAAUGUUCCGGAUUAGUGGGUGCCGUAGUGGUUGACGGCGGACCCGGAUUUGAUCAUUUCGAUAUCAAAUUGUGCCGAUGACACGUGACUAGGGAUUGGUAGUACUGUUAGACCUAUUUUCUUGACUUUAGCUUGUGAGAGCCUGAUUGAGCUCGACAG
Molecule: long non-coding RNA, 408 nt
Filed under: Ananas comosus (pineapple)
Lineage: Eukaryota; Viridiplantae; Streptophyta; Magnoliopsida; Poales; Bromeliaceae
Description: long non-coding RNA (ACOM_LNC034058)
Source: RNAcentral